Molecule: ribosomal RNA, 250 nt
Filed under: uncultured prokaryote
Description: partial 16S ribosomal RNA
Rfam family: Bacterial small subunit ribosomal RNA
Source: RNAcentral
UACGUAGGUGGCGAGCGUUAUCCGGAUUUAUUGGGCGUAAAGCGUCCGCAGACGGCUUGUUAAGUCUAGAAUCAAAGCCCGGAGCUUAACUCCGGUUCGUUCUAGGAACUGGCUAGCUUGAGUAUAGUAGAGGCAAGUGGAACUUCUAGUGUAGCGGUAGAAUGCGUAGAUAUUAGGAGGAACACCAGUGGCGAAGGCGACUUGCUGGGCUAUUACUGACGUUCAUGGACGAAAGCGUGGGGAGCAAAUA